GACGAACGCUGACGGUGUGCUUUAGACAUGCAAGUCGAACGCGAAAGCCCUUCGGGGUUAGUAGAGUGGCGAACGGGUGAGUAACACGUGGGCAAUCUGCCCCUCGCAGGGGGACAACCGGAGGAAACUCCGGCUAAUACCCCGUACGCUUGCUGGACCGCAUGGUCCGGCAAGGAAAGGUAGCUUCGGCCAUCCGGCGAGGGAUGAGCCCGCGGUGCAUUAGCUAGUUGGUGGGGUAACGCCCACCAAGGCAACGAUGCAUAGCUGGUCUGAGAGGAUGAUCAGCCACACUGGGACUGAGACACGGCCCAGACUCCUACGGGAGGCAGCAGUCGGAAUCUUGCGCAAUGGGCGAAAGCCCUGACGCAGCAACACCGUGUGAGCGACGAA
Molecule: ribosomal RNA, 390 nt
Filed under: uncultured bacterium
Lineage: Bacteria
Description: bacterial SSU rRNA
Rfam family: Bacterial small subunit ribosomal RNA
Source: RNAcentral